Bursaphelenchus xylophilus (pine wood nematode) is the source of this 46-nucleotide non-coding RNA. The record is from Rfam. Lineage: Eukaryota; Metazoa; Nematoda; Chromadorea; Rhabditida; Aphelenchoididae.
CUAACGGCCCUCUUUAGGGCCACAUUUCUUUGAUCUGCGAAUAAAG